UGGGGAAUAUUGCACAAUGGGGGAAACCCUGAUGCAGCGACGCCGCGUGGGUGAGGAAGUACCUCGGUAUGUAAAGCCCUAUCAGCAGGGAAGAAACAGACAGUACCUGACUAAGAAGCCCCGGCUAACUACGUGCCAGCAGCCGCGGUAAUACGUAGGGGGCAAGCGUUAUCCGGAUUCACUGGGCGUAAAGGGAGCGCAGGCGGCACGGCAAGUCUGAUGUGAAAGCCCGGGGCUCAACCCCGGUACUGCAUUGGAAACUGCCGGGCUGGAGUGUCGGAGGGGUAAGCGGAAUUCCUAGUGUAGCGGUGAAAUGCGUAGAUAUUAGGAGGAACACCAGUGGCGAAGGCGGCUUACUGGACGACUACUGACGCUGAGGCUCGAAAGCGUGGGGAGCAAACAGG
This 404-nucleotide ribosomal RNA is filed under the name uncultured bacterium. RNAcentral's name for it is "bacterial SSU rRNA". It matches the Rfam family "Bacterial small subunit ribosomal RNA", at positions 355 to 776 of the family's 1533-position model. The record is from RNAcentral.